Molecule: long non-coding RNA, 180 nt
Filed under: Mustela putorius furo (domestic ferret)
Lineage: Eukaryota; Metazoa; Chordata; Mammalia; Carnivora; Mustelidae
Description: lncRNA (ENSMPUG00000027748.1)
Source: RNAcentral
GAAACAUAAAAGCAGCAUUAACUACUGAGAGUGUGUUUAUAAAAGAGGCCAGGCUGAUAGUGAUUUGACUGGUCUGGAUGCUGUUCAAGGGCUCCAGUUAAAGAUUUGCCACUUAUGCGAAACUUUAGAAGUCAUCAUGGCAGAAAGAAAGAAUGUGACCAGUAUAUAUAGGCCCUUAAA